RNAcentral lists this unclassified non-coding RNA (1712 nucleotides) under Ceratitis capitata (Mediterranean fruit fly). Its description in RNAcentral is "uncharacterized LOC101449070, transcript variant X2". The record is from RNAcentral. Lineage: Eukaryota; Metazoa; Arthropoda; Insecta; Diptera; Tephritidae.
UAUUUGGAUUCCGCUGCAACCCUGAAUAGGAUCGUUUCUUUUCUCUAGAAAAUUUUCUAUAUGCUGCACGCGAAUAGAUUUUUCUCUUGCUUUGCGGUUGUAAUUUCAAUUUCAAUUUUCAAUAAAAUCUGUGAACGUAAAACAACAGUUGCAGUAACAUCGACGCAUCCGAAGCAAUAGAAUAACAAAUAUUUAAAUAAAUUUCGAUUUAGUUUUGCAAUUCCGUGCGGAGUAAAUUACUAAAAUUUAAAUUCCUGUAGAAAAUGAGAACUUCAAGUGUGGCUCAAUAUGCGCUUCGUAUGACUUUCGGACAGGCCUCAACACAGUCCGCUAGCAGUGUUUUCACAACAGCCUCUCCUGACCGCGUUGUUCCACGUUCCGCUACGAUGAUGGCCGUCUUCGGAAUCGCCAUCUCUUCGUUUAGCUUGAAACAGAUGUUGGCCAGCAGCGGAGCUAAUAAAUCAUCCGAAGCUGCACUAACGCUGCGCAAACUUUAAAUAAAAAUACGCAUAAAAUGGCACUUCGUUUAAAAAUCAUUAUCAAUUUGAAUCAGACGCAGAAGCAGAGGGAGCAGAGGGAGCAGAGUCCAAAAGCAGUGGGGAGAUUGAAGUAACACAUAUGAUUGAAAUGUGAAAGCGAGGAGUUGAACAAUGGAAAAAUGAACUUGAAUAAGAAAAUUAAACAUUUUUAUAAGCAAUGCUAAACACAUUUGAAGCAAAGGAUUAUUAACCAAACCCAUGUGGAGGGGAAAAUAUGCAGGGAGAUUAACUCAAGAUCAGACUGCGUUGCAGCAAUAAAAAAAAUGAAAAUAUAAAAAUAGAAAACAACAGAAAAUGAAAGUGUUUUGGCUGUGUACAAUUAUAAAUUUUGUCAUCCAAGCAAACGUUUUCAUAGAUGUGGUGAAAGCGAUGAAACAACUUGAGAGCGGAAUUCAACAAUGCAUACUUUAAUGCUAACGUUUAACCUUAACUAAUUUCCAUACCUUCAGCUAUAAAGCUAUGAUUAAUUUUUGAAUUGUAGUCGUUUAGUAAUCAUCGUUUUCAUUUAUGCAAACAACACCAACUUCCCUUAAUUCAUUUAGUUCAUAGUUGUAUAUAAUUUCUAAUAUAUAUACAUAGUAUAUUAUGCAUACUUAUGUAAUUUUAAAUAUUUAGCUCUAAACAUAAAACUUUGCACAAAUUCAUUAUAUGGCACAUACCUAUAUAAAAUCAACAUUGUGAAUGUACUCUUCAUAAAUUUUCAUCGUGUUUCAUUAUUAUUUGAAAACCAACAUCAAGAACCUUAUGAUUUUGUUGUACGGAUAGUAGAGAAUUUAUAAUUUAAUACAACAAACACACAAAAAAAAACAUGAAAACGAAAAUUAUUAAGCAUCUUGCAAGUGAUCUUCAACGGAUUGCCAGAAUCAACAAAGUAGUUAAUUUUGUAAUCCAAAAGUACAUACAUACGUAUGUUUGGAAAUUAUAACUUUAUGUUAAUAAUGUAAUAUGUCUUAAACUGCAAAUGAAAUUUAUAUGAUUUCGAUUUUGUAUGCUAAAUGACGCACUUUGCACUUUGAAAUUAUGUGAUACUAAUGCAAUCGUCUUGCGUCACGCAUAGCAGAAGUACUUUAUGUAAUAAAAAUCUUUCAUACGUAGUGUAUAUUUAACAUCUAUAUUUUGUAAAUUUAUUUAUUCUGAAUUAAUAGUGUUGCAUUAUAUUUGCAUACAUACUUA